Long non-coding RNA from Syngnathus acus (greater pipefish), 244 nucleotides. RefSeq lists it as uncharacterized. The transcript is spliced from 3 exons. The record is from RefSeq and is a predicted model, not a curated record. Lineage: Eukaryota; Metazoa; Chordata; Actinopteri; Syngnathiformes; Syngnathidae.
CUCACGUGCCAUAUGCAGGAGGAGUGCAAUCUUGGGUGGGACUCAAGAAGAACAAGGACAACUUUGAGUGGAGCGACGCAACACCUACGGGCAACAUUGUGUGGGUGCCAAACGGGCCGAAAGGGCGUGGUGGCUGCUCUGCCUUGUCGCCGACUGGUCAACUUGAGGAUUGGUCCUGCACCGAAAGUCGGCCAUUCAUCUGUAAAAAAGCCAAGGUCCAAGAGUUUCUUCUUCCUCCGCCGGC